This 23-nucleotide microRNA is filed under the name Gallus gallus (chicken). RNAcentral's name for it is "gga-miR-6569-5p". The record is from miRBase by way of RNAcentral. Lineage: Eukaryota; Metazoa; Chordata; Aves; Galliformes; Phasianidae.
GCCCUGUUGGACUAACGGCGUUG